This 363-nucleotide long non-coding RNA is filed under the name Hordeum vulgare. RNAcentral describes it as "long non-coding RNA (HVUL_LNC015372)". Lineage: Eukaryota; Viridiplantae; Streptophyta; Magnoliopsida; Poales; Poaceae. The record is from RNAcentral.
UACCUACCUAGUAUGGCAUCUUCAUAGCUAUUCGAGAUAUAUUGCCAUGCAACUCCCACUGUUUCGUCUCAUGACUUGUGCCGUCACUUUCAUAUUGCCAUUGCAUGAUCGUAAGAUAGCUAGCGAGAUGUUUCAACGUCAUACGCCAAGCUAGAUCAUUGCACAUCCCGGUACAUUGCCGGAGGCAUUUCCUAUAAGAGUCAUCAUUGUUCUAAGCAUUGAGCUUUGAGUAAAUUACAGUGUGAUAAUCAUCAUUAUUAGAGCAUUGUCCCAUGUGAGGAUAUAAAGAAAAAAGGCCAAAGUUGCCCACAAAAAAAUAUAUGGAAAGAGGCCAAAGAGCCCAAACAAAAAAAGAGAGAAAAA